RNAcentral lists this long non-coding RNA (7093 nucleotides) under Medicago truncatula (barrel medic). RNAcentral's name for it is "long non-coding RNA (MTRU_LNC003082)". The record is from RNAcentral. Lineage: Eukaryota; Viridiplantae; Streptophyta; Magnoliopsida; Fabales; Fabaceae.
GGGAGAGCUUCGGCUCUGGAACGCUCGGUCGUUCAAAGUGGUGGAGUACUAGUUACUCAAAGUGGUGUUAGUGGUGAGGACUUAUGUCCUGAUGAGAAUGCUUUAACCAUUCGACAGCGGUGUGGGUCACGGCCCUGAUUUUUGGUACCACAUGCAUGGGUGUUUAGAGGAGUCUUAGUGGAGUGGUGAUGGGUUGCAUAUGUUGUUGAGAGGGUUAUAAAUUAAUAUUGUUGAUGAUACGUGAAAAUGAUGAUAUUUAUAUAAUAUUGUUGAUGAAUUAUCUGAUAGGGUGUUAGAUUCAAUUGAUGCAUUCUUUACCUAUAUUUUGUUGUGAAUCUCACCCCUUCUGCUUGAAAAUGUUGACCUUCCUAUGGGUAACUUGCAGGUGAUCCUGAGUAGUUGGUGGUGGCUCAAAGUGUCUAGGACUCUGAUACGUGGGAUGGGAUUUAUAGUUUAAUUUCUACCUAUGUAUCAAUUUUUGGAACAAGUUAAUGUAGCCUUUGUUUAUUGUUGAACUAUUAUGUUGAGGCCUAGUGCCAAGAUUUAUUGUUGGAUAAUGGAGUUUAAUUUUGAAGAAUAUUCCGCUGCAAUUUAAUGAAGUUUUAUGAAAGAUGUUGUUAAAUAGUUUUAUUCUAUUUAAGAAAUUUUGUAUAGUGGUGUGACAUGCCGUUUGGUGUUGAACUCUGAUUUUAUAAUUAUAAUUAAAUUGAUUUUGGGAAACGGGGUGUUACAAUUGGUAUCAGAGCAGGUUGGUCCGUCCGGCCAAGUAGUAGAGUCGUGUUGAGCCACCUAGGAUAGAGUGUCAACUCUAAUAUUGUUGUGUUGUUGUUGUUGUUGUUUUGAAUUGUUGUUCAUUAUGUAGAAUCUUAAGAUGGCUGGUAGGAACGAUGCUGCUAUUGCUGCUGCACUUGAGGCCGUAGCUCAAGCUGUUCAACAACAACCGCAAGCUGGUAACGGAGAAGUGAGGAUGCUGGAGACCUUUUUGAGGAAUCAUCCCCCAGCAUUCAAAGGAAGGUAUGAUCCAGAUGGCGCCCAGUCAUGGUUGAAGGAAGUGGAGAGGAUUUUCAGAGUCAUGCAGUGCUCUGAAGUGCAAAAGGUGCGGUUCGGGACGCACAUGUUGGCUGAGGAGGCAGAUGACUGGUGGGUAAGUUUGCUACCAGUGUUGGAACAGAAUGGAGCUGUAGUGACCUGGGCAGUGUUCAGGAGGGAAUUUCUGAACAGGUACUUUCCGGAAGAUGUCCGAGGUAGGAAGGAGAUCGAAUUUCUGGAGUUGAAGCAGGGUGAUAUGUCUGUUGUUGAGUAUGCUGCAAAAUUUGUGGAGCUUGCAAAGUUCUACCCCAUUAUGCUCCGGAGACAGCUGAAUUCUCCAAAUGCAUAAAGUUUGAAAAUGGCUUGAGAGCUGACAUCAAGAGGGCUAUAGGAUACCAACAGAUUAGAAUUUUCUCUGAUUUGGUAAGUCGCUGUAGGAUCUACGAGGAGGACACCAAAGCUCAUUAUAAGGUGAUGAGUGAGCGAAGAGGUAAAGGGCAUCAGAGUCGUCCUAAACCGUAUAGUGCCCCUGCUGACAAGGGUAAGCAGAGACUUAAUGAUGAGAGGAGGCCGAGUAAGAGGGAUGCUCCUGCUGAGAUAGUGUGUUUUAAGUGUGGCGAGAAAGGUCACAAGAGUAACGUUUGUACCGAGGAUGAGAAGAAGUGCUUCAGGUGUGGACAGAAGGGUCACAUGCUAGCCGAUUGCAAGCGCGGUGAUGUUGUAUGCUAUAAUUGUAAUGAAGAGGGUCACAUCAGUACUCAGUGCACACAGCCGAAGAAGGUUAGAGUUGGUGGAAAAGUUUUUGCUUUGACUGGUACCUAGACUGCUAAUGAGGACCGUCUCAUCAAAGGUACUUGUUUCUUUAAUAGUACUCCUUUAAUUGCUAUUAUAGACACUGGUGCUACUCAUUGUUUCAUUGCUUUAGAAAGUGCAUAUAGGUUGGGUUUGUUUGUGUCUAACAUGAAAGGAGAAAUGGUUGUUGAAACUCCAGCUAAGGGUUCAGUGACUACUUCUCUUGUUUGCUUGAGGUGUCCAAUUUCUAUGUUUGGUAGAGAUUUUGAAGUAGACUUAGUUUGUUUGCCGUUGACGGGAAUGGAUGUUAUUUUUGGGAUGAAUUGGUUAGAGUAUAACUGAGUUCAUAUCAACUGUUUUAGUAAGACGGUACAUUUUUCUUCCGCCGAAGAAGAGAGUGAAGUUGAGUUUUUGAAUACGAAGCAAAUGAAGCAGUUGGAACGUGAUGGAAUUCUGAUGUAUUCUCUAAUGGCAUAUCUGUCGUCAGAAAACCAAGCUGUGUUUGACAAACUAGCAGUGGUGAAUGAGUUUCCGGAGGUGUUCCCUGAUGAGAUUCCCGAUGUGCCACCAGAGAGGGAGGUGGAGUUUUCAAUUGACCUUGUUCCCGGAACAAAGCCGGUGUCGAUGGCACCGUACCGUAUGUCAGCUUCUGAGUUAGCUGAAUUGAAGAAACAGUUGGAAGAUUUGCUUGAUAAGAAGUUUGUUAGACCCAGUGUUUCACCGUGGGGAGCGCCUAUGUUGUUGGUGAAGAAAAAGGAUGGUAGUAUGAGGUUGUGCAUUGACUAUCGUCAAUUGAACAAAGUUACAAUUAAGAAUAGAUAUCCGCUUCCGAGGAUUGAUGACUUGAUGGACCAGCUAGUGGGUGCAAAGGUGUUCAGUAAGAUUGACUUGAGGUCAGGUUACCAUCAAAUUAAGGUGAAAGAUGAGGAUAUGCAGAAGACGGCCUUUAGGACACGAUACGGUCAUUACGAAUACAAAGUGAUGCCUUUCGGUGUUACUAACGCGCCCGGUGUGUUCAUGGAGUAUAUGAAUCGAAUUUUUCAUGCCUUUCUGGAUAAAUUUGUGGUGGUAUUUAUUGAUGAUAUUCUGAUUUAUUCAAAGACUGAAGAAGAGCAUGCAGAACACCUGAGAAUUGUGUUGCAAGUGUUGAAAGAAAAGAAGUUGUAUGCCAAAUUGUCGAAAUGUAAGUUUUGGCUAAGUGAAGUGAGUUUCCUUGGUCAUAUUAUUUCUGGUGAUGGUAUAGCGGUUGAUCCAUCAAAAGUUGAUGAAGUAUCACAAUGGGAGACUCCGAAGUCGGUGACUGAAAUCAGAAGCUUCUUGGGUUUGGCUGGUUAUUACCGCAGAUUUAUAGAAGGAUUUUCAAAGUUAGCAUUGCCGUUGACUCAGUUAACCUGUAAGGGUAAGUCCUUUGUGUGGGAUGCUCAGUGUGAGAGUAGUUUCAAUGAAUUAAAGAAAAGAUUGACAACUGCUCCUAUUUUGAUCUUACCUAAGCCGGAAGAGCCAUUCGUUGUUUACUGUGAUGCGUCUAAGCUGGGUUUAGGAGGUGUUUUAAUGCAAGAUGGCAAGGUGGUAGCGUAUGCUUCUAGGCAACUGAGGGUACAUGAAAAGAAUUAUCCCACUCACGAUUUGGAGUUAGCUGCAGUGGUUUUUGUUUUGAAAAUUUGGAGGCACUACUUGUAUGGUUCCAGAUUUGAAGUGUUCAGUGACCACAAGAGCUUGAAAUAUUUGUUUGAUCAGACGGAAUUGAAUAUGAGGCAGAGGAGAUGGCUUGAGCUGUUAAAAUAUUAUGAUUUUGGGUUGAAUUACCAUCCGGGAAAAGCUAAUGUAGUCGCUGAUGCAUUGAGUAGGAAGACACUGCAUAUGUCUGCUAUGAUGAUAAAAGAAUUCGAUUUGCUGGAACAGUUUAGAGACAUGAGUUUGGUAUGUGAGUUGUCGCCUCAAAGCGUACAGUUGGGGAUGCUAAAGAUUAACAGUGAUUUUCUGAGUAGUAUCCGAGAAGCACAGCAGGUGGAUGUCAAGUUUGUUGAUCUGAUGGUUGCUGGUAAUGGCAUUGAAGAUAGUGACUUCAAGGUUGAUGAUCAGGGUGUGUUGAGAUUCAGAGGUAGAAUUUGUAUUCCUGAUAAUGAAGAAAUGAAAAAGUUAAUCCUAGAGGAAAGUCACAAGAGUAGCUUGAGCAUUCAUCCGGGAGCUACGAAGAUGUAUCAUGAUUUGAAAAAGCUGUUUUGGUGGUCUGGGUUGAAGCGAGAUGUCGCUCAUUUUGUGUAUGCAUGUUUAACUUGCCAGAAGUCUAAGGUUGACCAUCAGAAACCUGCAGGAUUGUUGACACCGUUGGAUGUACCAGAGUGGAAAUGGGAUAGCAUUUCUAUGGAUUUUGUGACAAGUUUACCAAACACUCCGAGGGGACAUGAUUCGAUUUGGGUUGUGGUUGAUAGGUUGACGAAGUCGGCACAUUUUAUUCCUAUCAACAUCAGUUAUCCAGUAGCUCAGUUGGCUGAGAUUUAUAUACAUAGUGUUGUGAAGCUACAUGGAGUUCCUUCGAGUAUUGUGUCGGAUAGGGAUCCGAGGUUCACUUCUAGGUUCUGGAAGAGUUUACAGGACGCUCUGGGUUCGAAAUUGAGACUAAUUCGGCUUAUCAUCCUCAGACAGAUGGUCAGUCGGAGAGGACGAUCCAAUCAUUGGAAGACUUGUUGAGAGUGUGUGUGCUUGAACAGGGUGGAGCUUGGGAUAGUCACCUACCAUUGAUAGAGUUCACCUACAACAACAGUUACCAUUCGAGUAUAGGAAUGGCACCAUUCGAAGCUUUGUAUGGUCGAAGGUGCAGGACUCCGUUGUGUUGGUUUGAGUCAGGAGAGAGUGUUGUGUUGGGACCGGAUUUGGUUCAGGAGACUACAGAAAAAGUCAAGAUGAUCAGAGAGAAGAUGAAAGCGUCGCAGAGUCGACAGAAGAGUUACCAUGACAAGCGGAGAAAGGCCCUUGAGUUUCAAGAGGGUGAUCAUGUAUUUCUAAGAGUUACUCCGAUGACGGGUGUAGGACGUGCUUUGAAAUCGAGGAAGUUGACUCCGAAGUUCAUUGGUCCGUAUCAGAUUUCAGAGAGGAUCGGGACGGUGGCAUAUAGAGUUGGCUUGCCACCACAUCUAUCGAACUUGCAUGAUGUAUUUCACGUGUCACAACUCCGGAAGUAUGUAGCAGAUCCUUCGCAUGUUAUUCCGAGAGAUGAUGUGCAGGUUAGGGACAAUCUCACAGUUGAGACUUUGCCGGUGAGGAUCGAUGAUCGGAAAGUGAAGGCAUUGAGGGGCAAGGAAAUACCCUUGGUGAGAGUCGUUUGGGGCGGAGCGACUGGUGAAAGUUUGACUUGGGAGCUGGAGAGUAAGAUGAGGGAUUCAUAUCCUGAGUUGUUUGUUUGAGGUAAGAUUUCGAGGACGAAAUUCAGUAAUUUGGGGAGAGUUGUAACGCUCUAACCAUUAUUUAAUUAUUUUUGAUUAUGUGGUGUCAUUAUAUGUUUUUUUUGGUGAUUUAUGUGGUGUACAUAUAUUUAUUAUAUGAUUUAUUUUAUUAAAUAAUUAGCAUAAGUGGAGAAUAUAAUUAAUUAGAGUUUGGGGGGUUAUGUUAUAAUUAAUAUAGUUAGUGGGGAGUUAUUUACUAAUUAGGGGAGUUACAAGUUGGGAGUUAAGAAAGGAAAAACCAGAGAAACGUUUUACGUGAAAACAGACAAGUUUGGGAGAAAGCCAAGAGCAAGGGAGAGGAACCUAGGAACCGAUUUCUGCUGUGUUAUUUCUGCAAUUCUAAGGUAAGGGUGAGGUUUACCGCAAUCUUAUAGGUUCUGAAUUCUGAUUUUGUUCUAACAGGUUUAUGUGAGAAUUGGGGGAAGUUAGGUUUUUGUUGAUUAAUGGGUUCUGAGUGUAGGAAUCGUUGAAUUGGGGUUAGAAAUGGGUUCUGAGUGCAUAAAACCUUUCAUUGCAUAUCUGUAAACUAAUUUGGGGAGUGAAUUGAGGAAAAAUGGGAUUUUUGGGAAAAACCUGCAUUCUGCCCGUACAGAAGUUCAUCGCUCGCCUCGCGAGUAGCCUAUGCUCGCCUUAGCGAGUGAACAACUUCAUCGCUCGCCUCGCGAGUGAUACAACUCGCCGUGGCGAGUAGCCUUGUGAAAAUCUGGAUUUUUAAAAUGUUGUUAUAAGCCGUAAUUUGGGUAGUACUAUGUACCUAGAUGAUUAUAAGGAUGACUGGAGCAAGUUUUAGGUUAAAAAGUUAACUAGGGAGCUUAGAAUGGUUGAUUUAGUGAGAAAAAUAUCAUUUUUCCCGAGAGCACCAUAUUUCUGUUCGCCUCGAGUUCGCCUCGAACUCGCCAUGGCGAGUACCUGAUUUCCUGAGCUCGCCAUAGCGAGCAGAUGUGCUCGCGAGGCGAGCUGCCCAGUAUUUUGUUGGUUUGAUUUCUGUUGUUGUUUGGAUGAUUUAUAUUGUUGAAUUAAGCAUGGCUUGUAUGUUGAUAUAUAUUUCCCUGGAUGUCCUGGUUGGUUGUGAUGAAUAGAUGCUGACUGAAUGUAUGUUGUAUUUAAUUAAAAUUCACUUAAAUGUUGUAAAUUGGAUGGUGAAUCAUAUAUAAGUAUAUGUUAGAUUGGUUGGUAUGUAGAUAUACUCAAGGGGAUUAGUUGCAUAAACAUCACAGUGGGAGAGCUUCGGCUCUGGAACGCUCGGUCGUUCAAAGUGGUGGAGUACUAGUUACUCAAAGUGGUGUUAGUGGUGAGGACUUAUGUCCUGAUGAGAAUGCUUUAACCAUUCAACAGCGGUGUGGGUCACGGCCCUGAUUUUUGGUACCACAUGCAUGGGUGUUUAGAGGAGUCUUAGUGGAGUGGUGAUGGGUUGCAUAUGUUGUUGAGAGGGUUAUAAAUUAAUAUUGUUGAUGAUACGUGAAAAUGAUGAUAUUUAUAUAAUAUUGUUGAUGAAUUAUCUGAUAGGGUGUUAGAUUCAAUUGAUACAUUCUUUACCUAUAUUUUGUUGUGAAUCUCACCCCUUCUGCUUGAAAAUGUUGCCCUUCCUAUGGGUAACUUGCAGGUGAUCCUAAGUAGUUGGUGGUGGCUCAAAGUGUCUAGGACUCUGAUACGUGGGAUGGGAUUUAUAGUUUAAUUUCUACCUAUGUAUCAAUUUUUGGAACAAGUUAAUGUAGCCUUUGUUUAUUGUUGAACUAUUAUGUUGAGGCCUAGUGCCAAGAUUUAUUGUUGGAUAAUGGAGUUUAAUUUUGAAGAAUAUUCCGCUGCAAUUUAAUGAAGUUUUAUGAAAG